UGGGGAAUUUUGGACAAUGGGCGAAAGCCUGAUCCAGCAAUGCCGCGUGCAGGAUGAAGGCCUUCGGGUUGUAAACUGCUUUUGUACGGAACGAAAAAGCUUCUCCUAAUACGAGAGGCCCAUGACGGUACCGUAAGAAUAAGCACCGGCUAACUACGUGCCAGCAGCCGCGGUAAUACGUAGGGUGCGAGCGUUAAUCGGAAUUACUGGGCGUAAAGCGUGCGCAGGCGGUUAUGUAAGACAGAUGUGAAAUCCCCGGGCUCAACCUGGGAACUGCAUUUGUGACUGCAUGGCUAGAGUACGGUAGAGGGGGAUGGAAUUCCGCGUGUAGCAGUGAAAUGCGUAGAUAUGCGGAGGAACACCGAUGGCGAAGGCAAUCCCCUGGACCUGUACUGACGCUCAUGCACGAAAGCGUGGGGAGCAAACAGGAUUAGAUACCCCCGUAGUC
RNAcentral lists this ribosomal RNA (448 nucleotides) under uncultured beta proteobacterium. RNAcentral describes it as "bacterial SSU rRNA". It matches the Rfam family "Bacterial small subunit ribosomal RNA", at positions 355 to 795 of the family's 1533-position model. The record is from RNAcentral. Lineage: Bacteria; Pseudomonadati; Pseudomonadota; Betaproteobacteria.